AGGCAUGAAUAGCACAAUAAAACAGCAGUUGGGGAACUAUAAGGAGCCUUUAAAUUGACUUUUUUUUUCCUCUUCCCACAGAGAUACUCUAUUAUAGCAAAGAAGAAAGAUAAUUUCAUUGAGCCAUCCUGUUUUACAGCACCCAACAGAAUCCCUUCAAAGCCUCGUGGUCUGACACCCUAUGCUACGUGACUUGUGACCCAUCCAUUUGUCAUGUUCUUCGGGAAUGUGGCUAAGGGGCUAAGAUGUGACUUGAAAAGAAAGGUAGAACAAGAUCAUCUCAAAUUUAUUAUCAAGGAAUAGUUCAGAAAACGACUUCAGACCACAGAGACAGCAGAACAGAUGGUCCGGCAUGGAUAGAGCAUCAGACACUCACAGACUGUGCCAACAAGAGCCAUCGAGUCAAAACAGCCAAAGGAAGGAGGGUCAUGGAAUGGGUUCUCUCACACCAAACUGAUGCCCAGAGGCCCUCAGCAUGAAUAACAAAGGCAACCAGACCCACAAGCCAUACUGAGUGGAUACAAAACCUAUACCUAGGCUGACAUCCCAAAUGUGUGUGGCAAGUUAGAUGAUGAUGGCACAAAAGACAGAACACCUUGCUUCUGGCCAUUGUCAGCUCUUGGAAGAGAGCACACUUUUAGAGGAGCAGCUGCAAGGAGCCUGAGAACAAAACUGGAAAUGUCUGUUAUGAAAGCCUUCACAGGUAUUAUUAACAAAAGAAAAUGUCUAUUUGUCAAUGGUGUUUCAGCUAGAUUUUGGCAGUCCA
This 766-nucleotide long non-coding RNA is filed under the name Homo sapiens (human). RNAcentral describes it as "non-protein coding BDNF-AS:21". Lineage: Eukaryota; Metazoa; Chordata; Mammalia; Primates; Hominidae. The record is from RNAcentral.